Molecule: small nuclear RNA, 142 nt
Filed under: Echinops telfairi (small Madagascar hedgehog)
Lineage: Eukaryota; Metazoa; Chordata; Mammalia; Afrosoricida; Tenrecidae
Description: U1 spliceosomal RNA (ENSETEG00000023555.1)
Rfam family: U1 spliceosomal RNA
About the family: U1 is a small nuclear RNA (snRNA) component of the spliceosome (involved in pre-mRNA splicing). Its 5' end forms complementary base pairs with the 5' splice junction, thus defining the 5' donor site of an intron.
Source: RNAcentral
GUACUUACCUGGCAGGUGGUUUUCCCAGGGCGAGGUUUAUCCAUUGCACUGCGGAUGUGGUGACCCCUGCGAUUUCCCCAAAUGUGGGAAACUCGACUGCACAAAUUGUGGUAGUGGGGGACUGCGUUCGCGCUCACCCCUG